Long non-coding RNA from Drosophila willistoni, 3830 nucleotides. RefSeq lists it as uncharacterized. Lineage: Eukaryota; Metazoa; Arthropoda; Insecta; Diptera; Drosophilidae. The record is from RefSeq and is a predicted model, not a curated record. The transcript has 8 exons.
AAAAGAAUUCAUUAAACUAGCUCAUUUCAUUGUGAAAGUCUAGUGGAGACCAUAAAAUAACAAUUAUUUUUAGAUUAAGUUGGGCACGUUUUAAAGUGUUUGACUAAUAAGAAUUGUCAAGGUUACAAAAUAAAUUCAGCUCAAAGUGGAAACGUUUUGAUUUAUUUUUAUUGGCAAGAUGCGUUUCUUUUUGCAUUUAGCAUGUUUCGUAUAUUUAUAUCUGCAGGAUUCGCCAGAUGACCUUGAAUACAAUUUCGAUCCUAUUAAAGAAGCCAUAAUUGCUACUGGAGAUUUCUUGAUAUAUGCAGGUGAUAAAUUAUGGAAUGUUGAACUGCUGGGAGAGCUUGGAAGAAUUAAACCAUUUUAAGAAAAAAGAAGAAGAAUAAUUGGUUUUUAAUGGCAAAUUAACUUGGUGUUGCCUGGGAGAUAUUCAUUUCCGAUUAAUAACGGUGCAUUUUUCAAUUGCAUAAUAAAGAACAGUCCAUAAAAUAUCAAUUAUAUUGACAACAGCGUGAACCUAAUCCAAAUUUCUACGGGAAAAUAAAAUAUAUACAGCUGAAAUGCCAAGUUGUUUUUAUAUUUUGUCAAAGUCAUACGACAAAAUGGAUUUUCAGUUAAUUCUAUUCACAUUUCUGUUUAUAAUUUAUGUGGAAACAACUACAGCAGACUUAAAGGAACUCGAAUCCAUUGCCCAUAAUAUUGAAAACGCUAUAAAAAGUACUGGAAAUAUACUUCAAAAUAUUGGUAAUUUUUUGUGGAAAGCUGGAACGAUGGGAGAGACGUUUGCAGGAAUGCAAUUAGCUGGAGCAGAAUAACUAGAUGUUUUCUUAUUCGAUAAUUAACAGUCAAAAAUUUCAUUUUUAAUAACUCUUUUCUAUGGAGAACAGUCCAUUAAAUUUCAAUUAUAUUGACAACAGCGCGAAUCUAAUUCAAAUUCCUACGGUUAAUUGUAAUAUAUACAGCUUUAAAUCGAAAGAUUUUUCAUAUUUUGCAAAAUUCGUGCGACAAUAUGCGUUUCCACUUUAUUCUAUUUUUGUCUCUAUAUUUUCUGGUUUCAACUAGAGCAGAGGGCUAUCUCGAUUCCGUUACCAAUUUAUUUGGUAAUCCCAUAACUGGUGCUGGAAGUUUAGUUAAAAAAAUUGGCAAUUAUAUAUGGAAAGCUGGCACAGCGGGAGAGAUGUUAGCAGGAGCUCAAUUAGCUGGAACAGAAUAACUUGGCGUUUUCUGAAAGAUCUUUGUUAUAUUAGAAAUAGAAAUUUCUUUGUCAUCCUUUAAUUACACUCUUCUAUUGGUGAAUAGUCCAUAAAAUAUCAAUUAUAUUUACUACAAAGUGAAUCUAAUUCAAAUUCCUACGGUUAAUUGUAAUAUAUACAGCUUGAAAUGCCAAGAUUUAUCAUAUUUUGCAAAAUUCGUACGACAAUAUGCGUUUCCAUUUAAUAUUAUUCACAUUUUUGUCUCUAAUUUUUCUAGUUUCAACUAGAGCAGAGGGUUAUCUCGAUUGCGUUACCAAUUUAUUUGGUAAUCCCAUAACUAGUGCUGGAGAUUUAGUUAAAAAAAUUGGCGAUUAUGUGUGGAAGGCUGGAAUGGCGGGAGAGGUGUUAGCAGGAUCUCAAACACUUAAAACACAAUAACUUGGCGUUUUCUGAAAGAUUUUCGUUGAACUAGAAAUGGAUAUUUCUUUCUCUUCCUUUAAUUACACUCUUCUAUUGGUGAAUAGUCCAUUAAAUAUCAAUUAUAUUGACAACAGCGCGAAUCUAAUUCAAAUUCCUACGGUUAAUUGUAAUAUAUACAGCUUUAAAUCGAAAGAUUUUUCAUAUUUUGCAAAAUUCGUGCGACAAUAUGCGUUUCCACUUUAUUCUAUUUUUGUCUCUAUAUUUUCUGGUUUCAACUAGAGCAGAGGGUUAUCUCGAUUCCGUUACCAAUUUAUUUGGUAAUCUCAUAACUGGUGCUGGAAGUUUAGUUAAAAAAAUUGGCAGUUAUAUAUGGAAAGCUGGAUCGGCGGGAGAGAUGUUAGCAGGAGCUCAAUUAGCUGGAUCAGAAUAACUUGGCGUUUUCUGAAAGAUUUUCGUUGAACUAGAAAUGGAUAUUUCUUUCUCUAACUUUAAUUACACUCUUCUAUUAGUAAAUAGUCCAUGAAAUAUCAAUUAUAUUGUCUACAGACUAAGGUCAAUCCAAAUUUCUACGGUUAAAUGUUAUAUAAACAGCUUGAAAUGAAAAGAUCUUUUUUAUAUUUUGCAACAGUCUUACGACAAUAUGCGAUUCCAUUUAAUUUUAUUGACUGUUUUGUUUCUAAUUUAUCUGGAAUCAACUAGGGCACAGGGAAAUCGUCUCGAAAACGCAGCCGCUGCCAUUGAAAAUGCUGUAAACAAUGCUGGAAAUGCAUUUAAAUUUCUUGGCGACAAAUUGUGGAGAGCUGGAAUGCUGGGAGAGAUGUUGGCCGGACAUCAAUUAGCUCGAUACAAUAAUAAAACAGGAUGGAAUAAGGUUGAAAGUAAAUCAUAAAUAAAAAAGUCUAUGCAAACUCACCGAACCGAGUUUUAACUAUGAAACCGUUCAAAUUUCAAAAUCCCUGAACAAUUUGCUUCUUAAAAUGCUCGAUUUUCCCCCCAAAAAAGACAGAUUUACCCCAACAACAUUUUGAGUAAAAGUCUCAACUGUUUUUUAUUUGGCAUUGAUAUUUAAUUCAAUUUUUCCAACAAAGCCAUAUCAUUUAAAUUUAAAGUUUGCUCUGGGAUUAUAGAUUAAAUUUUAUACGAUUCCUACUUGAAAUGCCUCGUGACAUGUUCAACUGUGAAAUUUCACUUUAUAUUGGUUAUAAAAUCUUCUUUAAAAAAAGUCAAUGAAAUCUUAAUUAAUAUGGUUAUUAGUUUACAAUUUAAAUUUGCUACGCUCAAAUGUAAUAAAUACGCUUCAAGAAACAUCAGAUUGCUUUAUUAAAGAUUUGUAAAUCAAGAUGAAAUUUUGUCUACUGCAAUUUACAUUAUUGGGCUUAUUGCUUGUGCAAUUCACUAGAGCUGAGGAGGAUGGUCUUGCGGGGACAGUAGAAACCAUUGGAAAUGCCUUGAACGCCGGUGGAACUUUUUUCAAAGAUAUUGGCGAUAUAUUGAGUCAAUUUGGAAAGCUGGCAGAAGCUAUUAGAAGUCGCCAUGCGAAACCGCGCGAGCUAGUGUUUUUAAGAAGCCCACCCGAAACAACAAUUCUCCCACCAAAACCAACAACAAGAUCACAGACAUCAAGUACCCCACCCCCACCCCCAACAACUCCACCACCACCCCCGACAACUCCACCACCACCACCGACAACUCCACCACCACCACCGACAACUCCACCACCACCACCGACAACAAGUCUAAAGACAACUAACCCCCCAAGCCCCCCAACUAAGCCAACGACCUCUCCUAGCCCACCAACUAAAACAACAAGUCCCCCAAGCCCCUCACCCAAAAAAGUCCCCCCUACUCUACCAUCCAAGAAAACACUCCGCUCUAUCAGCCUGCAACCCAAGGCAAAACCCAAGGUAAAACACCUUGGCCCUAUGAUCAUUCCGCCCAAGGCAACACUCGCCCCUAUCAUCCUUGCACCCAAAACAACACUCCGCCUUAUCAGGCUGCAACCCACGGUAAUACCCAAGGUAAAACCCCUUGGCCCUGUGAUCCUUCCACCCAAGGCAACACUCCCCCCCGUCAUCAUUCCACUCAACGCAACACUCCCCCCUAAUAUCCUACCACUCAACGAAACUAACGCAUCCAAGCUUAAAGUAGUAGGAUUCAAGCCAUUGGUACACUUAAGUACAGGUCAUUAAUAAAUAAAUUGUCGCUUUCUUUCUAGAA